Molecule: unclassified non-coding RNA, 387 nt
Filed under: soil metagenome
Description: partial contains 5.8S ribosomal RNA, internal transcribed spacer 2, and large subunit ribosomal RNA
Rfam family: 5.8S ribosomal RNA (bases 1-120)
Source: RNAcentral
GAUGAAGAACGUAGCGAAAUGCGAUAAGUAAUGUGAAUUGCAGAAUUCAGUGAAUCAUCGAAUCUUUGAACGCACCUUGCGCUCCUUGGUAUUCCGAGGAGCAUGCCUGUUUGAGUGUCAUGAAAUUCUCAACCUUUUCAGCUUUCUUUGUUGAUCAGGCUUGGAUGUGGGAGUAUGCGGGCUUCUCAGAAGUCGGCUCUCCUGAAAUGCAUUAGCGGGACCUUUGUUGCCUGGCUUUGGUGUGAUAAUUAUCUACGCCAUUGUAGUCAAGCAGCUUAAAAUGAGGUUUCAGCUUCUAACCGUCUCCCCUGAGACAACUUUUUGACAAUUUGACCUCAAAUCAGGUAGGACUACCCGCUGAACUUAAGAAUAUCAAUAAGCGGAGGA